AACUGCCUGCUGCACUUUGAACCCUGAAGGAAGACCUCCCUAUGCUGCAGACAAGGAAGGGGCUGGAAAAACUCUAACCUGGGUCCUCUGCACAGUUGCCUCUAUGGGCUUAGGUUCUUUCCUGUCUGUGGGAGAAAGCCCUCUGCUUGCAUGGGAAAGACAUUUGUUGCUCUUGUUGGCUGGCCUCUCUCUUCAGCAUUGUCUUCAAAGGAGGUGGGAGGACCAGUAAAUGAGCAAACUUCCUCCUUCAGUUCUGAGAAACUGAAACUCAGAAGCCUUAGAUUACCCUCCCAGGCUGUACAAGAAAGAGACUCUGACCACGUUGUAGCUUCAGAGAAGAUUGCCAACCUGUCCAGAGCCCUGCAAGCUGUGCAGUUUCCCCUGUGCUAUUUCAAGAGUCACUGCCUGUGCUGAGGUGGACUCUGCAGUCCUACAGCUCCUGUGAGGUCACUCCAACUCCUAUUGUUUAUAUGGUGGAUUAUAUUGAUGGAUUUCCACAUACUGACCCACUCCUGAAUGCCUAGGAUGAAGCCUACUUGGUCAUGGUGGAUGAUAUUUUGGAUGUGUUCUUGGAUUCAGUUUAAUGAAGCCAGAACGACCCAUUGGCAGAUUCCCAGGACGUAACACAGAGUUCCAGGAAGGGCCUCCUGGAGCUGCUCAGAGGAUAGCACACACUACAAGACAAGGAAAAUGCAGGAUGUUAAGUCUGGUAGUAGGAGAGGGGUGAUCAAAAAUCUCAGGGACAUGCAUGUGCCAGAGUGGAUGUAACAGUAAACAUUUCCUGGGAGGCAUGGAGAGUCCAGGCUGCUCUGUCCAGGGAUGCUUGCACACCCUGUGGAGAAGCAGAUUCAGCAGGACCAGAGAGAAGGGCAUCAGCAUGUGAGGAGCUGAGAGGUGGUGCUGAAGGCUCAAGGAUGGACUGGUGUUAGCAAACUAUCUCUAACCUGGAAUCUCAACAGUAUGGCACAGAGAAGUUCCAUCAGGAGACAGUCACAUCACGGCCAUGGUCCACUGAGGAGUAAGGAACACGCAGCCUGGGGCCUGACUGCUCAAGGAGGGUCAUGGCUAACAGAAAAUGUACCUUAAAAAGCUUCAAUUUCAUGGGAUGAUGCCCUCUUUUGGCCUCCAACGGUACCAAGCACAGAUGUAGUGUCCAACCCUCAUAUGCAUAAAAUAAAUCUAAAAACCAAUUAAAGCUGAAAGGUCUCAAAGACAGACCCAGAUUGUCUUCCCAGGAAGCAGAUCCGAACCAACAAGAAAGGACCAGCCACCCCUGCCUCAGGCACAGUCAUUGUCUCUGUAGUGCUUCCUUACUGCCUGUCACUCAGGUGUGAACCCCUAGAUGCCUCUGUGAAGGCCUGGUGUGGUGUUCUGAAUGACCCUGUCCUCUGUAGAGUACCAUAUUGGAAUACUUGGUCCCCACUUGGUGGCAGCUGUGUGGAUAGCUUUAGGAGGUAUGGCCUGCUGCAGGGAGAAUGUCACUGGAGCUGUGGUUAUAGAACCCAUCCCAUUUCUUUCUUCAUCUCUGGACCUUGCUUGAGGUUUAAGAUGGGGGCUUUCAGCUGGGCAUGGUGUCAUAGGCUGGAAUUCCAGCACUUGAGAGGCACAGGCAGGUGGUUCUUUAUGAGUCUGCGGCAAGUCUGUUCUGCCUAUUGAGUUCUAGGAAAGCUGGAAUUAUACGGGAGACCUUGUUUCAAACCCAAACCCAAACCAAACCAAACCAAACCAGAACUCUGGGUUGUCAACUUGCUGCUCCAGCCACGGUGCCUGCCUGCUGCCAUGCUUCCCUGCUGGGAGGUGAUGGACUCGUGUCCCUGUGAAACUACCAGGUUCCCCACAUCCUCCUUCUGUGGUUCCCCAAAUCCUCCUUCUGUAUGUUACCAUGGGCAUCGUCGUGUUUUAUCACAGCAAUAGAAAAGCAAGUAUCGUAAAAUAUCAUAUAAAUACUGCAGUGUUUGCACUGCUCCUUCUCCGUUACUCCUGCUCGCCUCUGCUCUUGUAGGAUGGUAUCAUCCAGGGAGAAGCCAUCAGUGAAGAGCAUGGCUGGACCUGCCUCUAGGACCCUAUGACCAAGGCCUUCUGUCAGCCUGAUGUUGUCAGUGCUAGGAAAUGGCCCUGGGGGGAGAUCAUGGCAGUUCCUAAUUGGAGAAUCACCUUGCUUGGGCAGAAGCCAGCCAGACACACCUGCAGUAGGGAAAAUGCACUUCAUUUCACAGUGACUCCUGGCAUGGCCCUGGGUUCUGGGACAGAGAGGCCUCUGGUCCUGGGCUAUCAGAACGUUCAUCAGGCCUCAGGGAGACACCAUGAGGUGAGCUCCUUUCCUCCAGGUUACAAAGUGGACAGUCACAGUCAGAGAUGAUAUGCUGAAGUGAGACAUUGCUGCAGAGACAUCACAAGUCCCUGUGUGUUGAGAGCUGCAUAGCAGGGAGACAUCGCUUCCCUCCCUACCCUGUGAGGUGGUGUCUCCUCUUCUCUAGAUGGUUGUGGAAAUCCUAUCUCAUCUAGAGGAAGUGACAGGUCAGUUCUCAAGGAAGCUGCCACCUCUUCCUCAGCAAGGACCACAGGCUUCAAGGAGUGUCCUCUGUGCUCCAAGGAAUCCACUGGACAGCAAUGGAGAGAUCAACAAUCCUUAAGUUCAGGACCUCCUGCUGUCAUUUCUAGCUGACCCAGAAGUCACAAGCUGCAAAGAACCAGUACUGUCUGGGAAACAUGCAGCUUUCCCAGGACUUUGGAAGACACUCUGGGGGGAUGGGCACCAAUCCUGGUACAUGGAGUAUUCCCUAAUCUGGCUUAGAGGACACAUCUUCUGUCUUAUUCAUCAGCUUGUGACCUUCUGCUGCUGUCCCACCAAAUGCAGAAUUGAGUAUUUGAUGCAGAGAGAGAUACAGUGAGGUUCUCCAAAUUGAAUAAAAAUGAGUGCCUGCAUUUACAGAACAGAAGAACCCUCUCCUGUCUAAAGAACACCACUAUCUGGUGCCAUCUCCCCAGGAGGCAGACUACAUGGGCCUGGGAGCAAGGGCAGCAGCUUCCAUAGCUCUCCACCCAGUCCUCCCUAGAGGACAAGGUGCUCCAGCCCUGAGUAGCUGCGGAGUUUUCAUGCAAGGGCACAGAUUGCGAUCUCCUGGAGGAAUGGCUAAAAGACAUUUUGAGGGUGGGAAAGUGUAGGCUAGGUGGGAAGGGAGGGGAGCAGAGGAGGAGGCUGGUGGUUAAAAGUCCUGUUGAAGCUGAGCCUGGCACAAAGCUGUAAUCCCACUACCUGGUAGACCAAGGGGGAGAAGGCGUUGUUGCAAGUUCCACAGUGUGAAUCCUGCUUAAAACAAAACAACCAUAGAAAGAAUAAAGACCAAGGGAAAAAAGAGAACUUGGGCGGUUGUGGCUGCCUUGUCCCUGGAAGCAUCUACUGUGGGAAAGUUCCAGGGCAAAGAGGUUCCUGACUGGAGGAGGGCUGUGAGGAAUCUUCAGGGAAGGCAGUCUUCAGAGCAUAUGCUUAGACCCAGGGGAGCCCUCCUGGCGGGGUCUUGCACUGGGAUCUCUGGGGUUUAGGCUUCCUUCAGGCACUCCUUUUGGCACCUGAGCUCUUCAUUUCUAAAUUUAGCCUUGGCCCGCCCUCCAGCCUGGUUUUAGGCUUCCUACAGACUACAAGCACUCCUUUCUGCUCCCGAGCUCGCCACUCGAUUCUGCUCCGGAGCUUUCCACUCCUUUCUGCUCUGGAGCUCUCCUUUCCUUUCUGCUCCUGAGCUCUCCAUUCAUUUCUGCUUCGGAGCUCGCCACUCCUGUCCCCUCCGGAGCUCGCCACUCCUUUCUGCUCCAGAGCUCUCGCUCCUGAGCUCUCCAUUCAUUUCUGCUCCGGAGCUCGCCACUCCUGUCUGCUCCAGAGCUCUCGCUCCUGAGCUCUCCAUUCAUUUCUGCUCCGGAGCUCGCCACUCCUGUCUGCUCCGGAGCUCGCCACUCCUUUACCUUGGCCUGCCCUCCCCCCAGCCAUAACUUUCCACUAACUUCUUCAAUGCACUGGUGGGGUCGAGCCAGAGCGAGUCAGGGCGCCCAGGUGCCGCGGUGAGGAAGGGGCGAAGGAGAAGCCAGGGGCUUCCUGGAAGCUCAGUACUGAGAACCCCUGACUUAGCCGGGUCUGUCGCCCCCUACGCCCCGCCUGCACCCUGGGUAGACUCGGAACUCACGGGCUGACAGCGUCGUCAUCAGGUAGCUCAGCAGAACUAAAAGGCUCAGAUUCUGGGGACGACUGAGCGCCGCGGUGGCUGGCUUGUCCAUGGUUCCCCCCGGAGAGCUGCCCCAGACGGGCGUAAGGAGCUGCGCGGAGUCCGUCCUCGGCCGCGCCCCGCGGAGGACACGCGACGAGAACCCCGCGAGGUCCAGGCACCUGGGCGAGAAUUAAGCUUCAGGGCGCUGCAGGAAGGCAGAUCCUAGUCCACUUUUCCUGCCUCCCGGCGAACUGAGUCCCCUUGCCCCGCCCCUUUUCGUGAGUCCGCGUCUCUCCCAAGCUCGCUGCUUCUCUCCCUCCCCGCGGGCCGUCCUAUCCCCGCCCGCCGCUCUUCCUCCCCCGCCUGCCGUCCUCCACCUCCCCCCACCUUCCCCCACCCCGCUGUCCACUUAUCAGCAGCUGUGCCCGCGGGAUUCUCAGGACAGAGAUUAGAAAGAUAGAAAAAGUAUCAACUCCAUGCUUUCAGCCAGCAGCCAGAGUUAGAAACCUGUAUAAGGGUUCACAGAGCAGGUCUUGCUUCCCCUCUAGGAGUUCCUGAGGUGGUUAGCUUAGGUGCCCCAGGAGCUUUGCUCUAGGGCUUCUCUCUAAUUCUUCAAUACCUUCACACACACCCUCAGUGUGUGUGUGUGUGUGUGUGUGUGUGUGUGUGUGUGUGGCCAGCAGCCAGCUCUCCCUCACUGUCUGCUUCCUCCAGCUCAAGUUUCUCCCCCACCCCAGACUCAUUUUGUUUUGAGUCAUUGUUUCCCUUUGUGGCCUUUUCCCUAUGCAGCACUGGCUUUCUAUGUAAACCAGGCUGGCCAGCUCAGUGAUCCACUGCCUCUAUUUCCCAAGGGCAUGUGCCAACAUCCCUGGCCAGAGAGGUACAUUUGCCCGUGGGCACAAACAUGAGUGUUUACAAUAUACUUAGAAACUGUAUUUUAUAGGAAAGGGGCAGUUUUUCCUCCAGAGUCUAGGAUCUCUCCAGUGCUCCUGUCCCCUUGAUCAGAGAGAUGAGAACAGAGCUCAGACUUCAGCCAGCAUGCAUUCUGUGAAGAGGAGGGAGGGCAUCACAGGGAAGCAUCCUCAGCUCUGCCAAAGGAAGCUGCAGCUUGGGAAAGAGCUGGGCCUCAUUCUAGCAGGGAAUUAAGGAGAGCCCUGAGGCUGCACCCAAAGGUCCACCAGCCAGCCCUCCACACCUCAGACUGCCCUGGGCUGUUGUGCUCACUCCCUCAGGAAUGCUUCUGCAGUGGGGCGGGGAGGGAGUCUCCUAAGACCCUGACUGUGCAGAAACCUUAAAGAUAGGGAGAGCAGUAGGUCAAUGCCUAUAUCCUUUCCCUCUAAACAGUAAAGGUCAGAACUGCACAUUUGCUUGGUCCAGGUGUACACAGGAUGAGCUGAGAGGAUGUGGUCAGACGUGAAAAUGUUGGGAGACACAAGUACAUGUGGGAAACUCAUCCCGAAUAUUAAUUAAGAGGGAAGCUCUCAAGUACCGUUCCUGCACCGUGCCUGCUGCUACAACACUCCCCACCAUCAUAACCGUGAGCUUGCUCUCGGAACUGUGCACAAGCCUCCAAAUAAAGAUUUC
Molecule: long non-coding RNA, 5780 nt
Organism: Meriones unguiculatus (Mongolian gerbil)
Lineage: Eukaryota; Metazoa; Chordata; Mammalia; Rodentia; Muridae
Exons: 4
Source: RefSeq, a predicted model, not a curated record